GACGAACGCUGGCGGCGUGCUUAACACAUGCAAGUCGAGCGGAAAGGCUCCUUCGGGGGUACUCGAGCGGCGAACGGGUGAGUAACACGUGAGUAAUCUGCCCUUGGCUUUGGGAUAAGCCCCGGAAACGGGUCUAAUACCGGAUACGACGCACUCUCGCAUGGGAUGUGUGUGGAAAGUUUUUUCGGCCAGGGAUGUGCUCGCGGCCUAUCAGCUUGUUGGUGGGGUAAUGGCCUACCAAGGCUUCGACGGGUAGCCGGCCUGAGAGGGUGACCGGCCACACUGGGACUGAGACACGGCCCAGACUCCUACGGGAGGCAGCAGUGGUGAAUAUUGGACAAUGGGCGGAAGCCUGAUCCAGCAACGCCGCGUGAGGGAUGACGGCCUCGG
RNAcentral lists this ribosomal RNA (390 nucleotides) under uncultured bacterium. RNAcentral's name for it is "bacterial SSU rRNA". It matches the Rfam family "Bacterial small subunit ribosomal RNA", at positions 28 to 420 of the family's 1533-position model. The record is from RNAcentral.